Molecule: ribosomal RNA, 398 nt
Filed under: uncultured Glomeromycotina
Lineage: Eukaryota; Fungi; Glomeromycota
Description: SSU rRNA
Rfam family: Eukaryotic small subunit ribosomal RNA
Source: RNAcentral
AGCAGCCCGCGGUAAUUCCAGCUCCAAUAGCGUAUAUUAAAGUUGUUGCAGUUAAAAAGCUCGUAGUUGAAUUUCGGGAUUAGCACGUUGGUCGUGCCUUCGGUACGUACUGGUGUUACUGAUUCCUACCUUCUGACGAACCAUCAUGUCAUUAAUUUGGUGUGGCGGGGAAUCAGGACUGUUACUUUGAAAAAAUUAGAGUGUUUAAAGCAGGCUCGCGCUUGAAUACAUUAGCAUGGAAUAAUGAAAUAGGACGUUGAUCCUAUUUUGUUGAUUUCUAGGAUUGACGUAAUGAUUAAUAGGGAUAGUUGAGGGCAUUAGUAUUCAAUUGUCAGAGGUGAAAUUCUUGGAUUUAUUGAAGACUAACUACUGCGAAAGCAUUUGCCAAGGAUGUUUUC